CCAGGGGACAUCACAGUGGUGGCCAGACAGCCUGUGGGGUGACGACCCCCCACCCACUGUGAGGACAGCGCUUGGGGACCAGCGCUGGAUUUGGAUAGAGCAAGGCAGCCAGGAAUCCCAGAGAUGAACUCUGAAGGAAGAAUGGGGUGAAGUGAGCACUUUCGGCAUGUCUUCAAAAUUCACUUUGAGAUUUCCAAGGAAGGGAACGACAUCAUCCUGUUUUCCAGGCACCAGUGGUGGGAUUGCAGACCAGCAUGCACUUAAGACCAUGCACACUCCGUCCAGGUCACCGCGGCACACCCUACCAUUCACUCCAGCGGAGCCCUUCCUGUCUUCCGGUCACAUCUCGCCACACUUUCGCCCUAACAAGGAGGUCUUCCGGUAACAUGUCGCCGCAUGUCUGCUCUAACAAGGUCUUCGGGUAACAUCUCGCCACACUUCCGCUCUAAGAAGGAGGUCUUCCGGUCACAUCUCCCAACAAGGAUGUCUUGUGCUUUUGUCUCGUAAGUCGCUUUACAGCAAUGUCACUGAAAGAACUCUUUCAACGGUUGCUUGGUUUGUCAUCACAGACCCCCUUUCCUAGAACCCAAGCGGGAUUGCAAGGCCCCGAGAGGAAGUUUAUAUUUUAUGAUUCUUUGCGUUGCUCCCACCUAACAUGGCAUCUCAGUCAGCCGGGCUCUGCUGUAGCAAAAACACCACACACUGGGCUGCUUACAAACAACGAACAGGCAUUCCCCACAG
Long non-coding RNA from Suricata suricatta (meerkat), 741 nucleotides. RefSeq lists it as uncharacterized. The transcript has 3 exons. NCBI's taxonomy places the organism in Eukaryota, Metazoa, Chordata, Mammalia, Carnivora, Herpestidae. The record is from RefSeq and is a predicted model, not a curated record.